This 253-nucleotide ribosomal RNA is filed under the name uncultured bacterium. Its description in RNAcentral is "partial 16S ribosomal RNA". It matches the Rfam family "Bacterial small subunit ribosomal RNA", at positions 524 to 776 of the family's 1533-position model. The record is from RNAcentral.
GACGUAGGAUGCAAGCGUUGUCCGGAUUCAUUGGGCGUAAAGAGUUCGUAGGCGGUUUGUUAAGUCUGAUGUUAAAGACUGGGGCUCAACCUCGGAAAUGCAUUGGAUACUGGCAGACUGGAGUGCAGUAGAGGCAAGUGGAAUUCCCAGUGUAGCGGUGAAAUGCGUAGAUAUUGGGAAGAACACCGGUGGCGCAGGCGACUUGCUGGGCUGUAACUGACGCUGAGGAACGAAAGCUAGGGGAGCAAAUGGG